GUCAGCAUGGCGUAGUGGUUUGAGUGUUAGACUGCAACUCUGGAGAUCAGGGUUCAAUUCCCUUUAAGCCU
Molecule: transfer RNA, 71 nt
Filed under: Phrynosoma platyrhinos (Desert horned lizard)
Lineage: Eukaryota; Metazoa; Chordata; Lepidosauria; Squamata; Phrynosomatidae
Description: tRNA-OTHER
Source: RNAcentral